UGGGGAAUAUUGCACAAUGGACGAAAGUCUGAUGCAGCAACGCCGCGUGGAGGAUGACACAUUUCGGUGCGUAAACUCCUUUUAUGUGAGAAGAUAAUGACGGUAUCACAUGAAUAAGCACCGGCUAACUCCGUGCCAGCAGCCGCGGUAAUACGGAGGGUGCAAGCGUUACUCGGAAUCACUGGGCGUAAAGCGCGCGCAGGCGGCUUUGUAAGUUGGAUGUGAAAUCCUAUGGCUCAACCAUAGAACUGCAUCCAAAACUACUUAGCUAGAGUCUGGGAGGGGAAGAUGGAAUUAGUGGUGUAGGGGUAAAAUCCGUAGAGAUCACUAGGAAUACCAAAAGCGAAGGCGAUCUUCUGGAACAGUACUGACGCUGAGGCGCGAAAGCGUGGGGAGCAAACA
This 402-nucleotide ribosomal RNA is filed under the name uncultured Sulfurovum sp. RNAcentral describes it as "bacterial SSU rRNA". It matches the Rfam family "Bacterial small subunit ribosomal RNA", at positions 355 to 774 of the family's 1533-position model. The record is from RNAcentral. Lineage: Bacteria; Pseudomonadati; Campylobacterota; Epsilonproteobacteria; Campylobacterales; Sulfurovaceae.